This 71-nucleotide transfer RNA is filed under the name Phrynosoma platyrhinos (Desert horned lizard). RNAcentral describes it as "tRNA-OTHER". The record is from RNAcentral. Lineage: Eukaryota; Metazoa; Chordata; Lepidosauria; Squamata; Phrynosomatidae.
GCCAGUGUGGUGUAAUGGUUUGAGUGCUGGACUAUUACUCUGGAGAUCAGGGUUCAAAUCCCUACAUGAUG